CUUCUUCGAUCUGCUGCGGGCAGAUGAAAUGGAUGUGCGCGUCGAUGCCGCCGGCGGUGACGAUCAUCCCCUCGCCGGCGAUGAUCUCGGUGCUGCCGCCGAUGGCGAUCGUCACGCCCGGCUGGAUGUCCGCGUUGCCGGCCUUGCCGAUGGCGCUGAUCCGUCCGCCCUUGAUGCCGAUGUCGGCCUUGACGAUUCCCCAGUGGUCGACGAUCAGCGCGUUGGUGAUCACCGUAUCGGCGACCUCCGCGGCGCUCAGCUGGCCCUGCCCCAUGCCGUCGCGAAUG
This is a small RNA of 287 nucleotides. It matches the Rfam family "5' ureB small RNA".